Halichondria panicea is the source of this 1553-nucleotide long non-coding RNA. RefSeq lists it as uncharacterized. NCBI's taxonomy places the organism in Eukaryota, Metazoa, Porifera, Demospongiae, Suberitida, Halichondriidae. The record is from RefSeq and is a predicted model, not a curated record. The transcript is spliced from 3 exons.
UUCUUGUACUGUUACCCUUUUUACAGGUUUUAUAAUUGUCAUAAUUAUCUGUCACCAGGAAGUUACCAAAGCCAUAUAAAUACCAACCGCAUGCAUGGUUGCUUUUAUAUGGGCGUAGCUGCACUAGCAGUAUAGGUCUACUAUAGAGAUUAGUGGAGUCAAUUCAACAGCUAGCGUUGGUCUACUCUCUGCUGCUAGCAUUUAUUUAACUGGCUCAGUACUGAAGAAAGACAGAAGUAGAAACAGGGAAAAAAGACACUCUUAUAUACAUGAUACUCUUCUCUGUGUAAGAAAGAAUACUGGUAUAAAUGCCCGGCGCCCACUGACAACUUAACUACAUGUAUUUGCUGGAGGUAUGUACAUGUGUACGUAUGUAGCUAAAGGUCGCUAUUAUGGAUAAUUACGAUAGGGGAUAAAAUAAACACUGAAUCACGUUCACACUGACAACGGUUACCAUGAAAACUGUUGUGACGUAGUAGUUUCCGAGGUAGUUUUCUACUCUUAUUAUUAAUUUUUACUACAAUUAAUUGAUUUUAUACUGGCACAUUAGCUACUAUUAAAGUUGCAGCUUCAUCCCAAAAGUAAUUUGCAUUGGCUACCACUGAACCUGAAGAACCUUAUUUAAUAUGGCAGUUGAUACUCAUUUAAGCUCAACUGAGGGUUGCCACAGUGAGACAGAAAGCCAACUAGUUGUCCUUAAAAGUCUCAGUAUUGAACUGAUUCAGCAGGGUCCAAUCGAUAAUGAACGAGCUAAAGAUAAGGCUCUCUCCCAAGAGUUCCGUCAUGUGUUUGGCAUAAAAGAACGCAAGAUCGUGCUGGCAGCAGCAGCUAAUAAAUCUCUCUCUGAUGGCUUCUUGAAGAUAGUUAAAGGAUACGAUUUUGUUCCACCUUUGAUUGAGUUUCUCAAAUUUCUAAAGAUAUUCUUUGACGAUUUUAAUAUUCUGGAAAGUAUUAACCAGAUUGACAAGAUUUUUCAAAGGUUUGAUCUAGUCCCAGAGUAUUCAUUAAAUAAUAUGAAACAAAUCACUACAUGUACUGAUUUUGAUUUUAAACAGACAGAAGUUGUCACGACGCCUAAAUUGGAUAUCACGGCAAAUAUUGUUGAUUCUUCCCAAAUCACUGAUUUGUCGUCUCUGUCUAUCUAUUCGAGGAGUAGUGAUUCUUUUCAAGUAUCCUCUCAGCUCAAUGCACCCAUAUUGCUUCCAUCUAACAGCGAGUUAGUUUGUACUACAUCAUUGAUACCUCAUCUGGGAGAAAAAGACGAGUUGGUCGUUGGCAUCGCUUUACCUAUUUUUACACCGAUGCUCAACCGCUGAGCGUCAACAACAUACAAUGCAUAUACUGUACACAAGUGCCGAGUGGUGUGCAUGUACCAACACUGUCCUGCUGAGCUAGUGUCACCAUCAUCUGUCUAGCUGUCGUAAUUAUAAUACUAUUAUUUUGCGCACACAAUUGAUUAUGUCACCUUAUGUGAUGUCUUAUUUGAUGAUAGCUGCUUUUUUUGUUUAGUUCACAGAUUAUAUUACAUCACCAAAUUAAAUAGAGCCAGUUUU